GAUGAACGCUGGCGGCGUGCCUAAUACAUGCAAGUCGAGCGAACAGACGAGGAGCUUGCUCCUCUGACGUUAGCGGCGGACGGGUGAGUAACACGUGGAUAACCUACCUAUAAGACUGGGAUAACUUCGGGAAACCGGAGCUAAUACCGGAUAAUAUAUUGAACCGCAUGGUUCAAUAGUGAAAGACGGUUUUGCUGUCACUUAUAGAUGGAUCCGCGCCGCAUUAGCUAGUUGGUAAGGUAACGGCUUACCAAGGCAACGAUGCGUAGCCGACCUGAGAGGGUGAUCGGCCACACUGGAACUGAGACACGGUCCAGACUCCUACGGGAGGCAGCAGUAGGGAAAUCUUCCGCAAUGGGCGAAAGCUUGACGGAGCAACGCCGCGUGAGUGAUGAAGGUCUUCGGAUCGUAAAACUCUGUUAUUAGGGAAGAACAAAUGUGUAAGUAACUAUGCACGUCUUGACGGUACCUAAUCAGAAAGCCACGGCUAACUACGUG
This 498-nucleotide ribosomal RNA is filed under the name uncultured bacterium. RNAcentral's name for it is "partial 16S ribosomal RNA". It matches the Rfam family "Bacterial small subunit ribosomal RNA", at positions 28 to 507 of the family's 1533-position model. The record is from RNAcentral.